GGGGCUGUAGCUCAUUUGGGAGAGCGUUCGGUUCGCAUCCGAGAGGUAGUGAGUUCGAAUCUCAUCAGCUCCA
RNAcentral lists this transfer RNA (73 nucleotides) under Chloroflexota bacterium. RNAcentral's name for it is "Chloroflexi bacterium (groundwater metagenome) tRNA-Ala". It matches the Rfam family "tRNA". Rfam says of the family: Transfer RNA (tRNA) molecules are approximately 80 nucleotides in length. Their secondary structure includes four short double-helical elements and three loops (D, anti-codon, and T loops). Lineage: Bacteria; Bacillati; Chloroflexota. The record is from RNAcentral.